This 496-nucleotide ribosomal RNA is filed under the name uncultured bacterium. RNAcentral's name for it is "partial 16S ribosomal RNA". It matches the Rfam family "Bacterial small subunit ribosomal RNA", at positions 29 to 507 of the family's 1533-position model. The record is from RNAcentral.
AUGCACGCUGGCGGCGUGCCUAAUACAUGCCAGUCGCGCGAACAGACGAGGAGCUUGCUCCUCUGACGUUAGCGGCGGACGGGUGAGUAACACGUGGAUAACCUACCUAUAAGACUGGGAUAACUUCGGGAAACCGGAGCUAAUACCGGAUAAUAUAUUGAACCGCAUGGUUCAAUAGUGAAAGACGGUUUUGCUGUCACUUAUAGAUGGAUCCGCGCCGCAUUAGCUAGUUGGUAAGGUAACGGCUUACCAAGGCGACGAUGCGUAGCCGACCUGAGAGGGUGAUCGGCCACACUGGAACUGAGACACGGUCCAGACUCCUACGGGAGGCAGCAGUAGGGAAUCUUCCGCAAAGGGCGAAAGCCUGACGGAGCAACGCCGCGUGAGUGAUGAAGGUCUUCGGAUCGUAAAACUCUGUUAUUAGGGAAGAACAAAUGUGUAAGUAACUAUGCACGUCUUGACGGUACCUAAUCAGAAAGCCACGGCUAACUACGUG